UACGUAGGUGGCAAGCGUUGUCCGGAUUUAUUGGGUUUAAAGGGUGCGUAGGCGGUUCUUUAAGUCAGUGGUGAAAUACAGCCGCUUAACGGUUGAGGUGCCAUUGAUACUGAAGAACUUGAGUACAGUCGAGGUAGGCGGAAUUGACGGUGUAGCGGUGAAAUGCUUAGAUAUCGUCAAGAACACCGAUAGCGAAGGCAGCUUACUAGGCUGUAACUGACGCUGAGGCACGAAGGUGCGGGGAUCAAACAGG
Molecule: ribosomal RNA, 253 nt
Filed under: uncultured bacterium
Lineage: Bacteria
Description: partial 16S ribosomal RNA
Rfam family: Bacterial small subunit ribosomal RNA
Source: RNAcentral